AUGCCUGGAGAGAGAGGCAGAGAGAGAGAGACACAGAGAGAGAGAGGCAGAGAGAGAGAGACAGAGAGAGAGAGAGGCAGAGAGAGAGAGGCAGAGAGAGAGAGACACGAGAGACAAGAGAGAGAGCAGAGAGAGAGAGACACAGAGAGAGAGAGGCAGAGAGAGAGAGACACGAGAGACAAGAGAGAGAGCAGAGAGAGAGAGAGGCAGAGAGAGAGAGACACGAGAGACAAGAGAGAGAGCAGAGAGAGAGAGAGCAGAGAGAGAGAGAGCAGAGAGAGAGAGGCAGAGAGAGAGAGACACGAGAGACAAGAGAGAGAGCAGAGAGAGAGAGAGGCAGAGAGAGAGAGACACAGAGAGAGAGAGGCAGAGAGAGAGAGAGGCAGAGAGAGAGACACGAGAGACAAGAGAGAGAGCAGAGAGAGAGAGAGCAGAGAGAGAGAGACAGAGAGAGAGAGGCAGAGAGAGAGAGAGCAGAGAGAGAGAGACACAGAGAGAGAGAGGCAGAGAGAGAGAGACACGAGAGACAAGAGAGAGAGCAGAGAGAGAGAGAGCAGAGAGAGAGAGACACAGAGAGAGAGAGGCAGAGAGAGAGAGACACGAGAGACAAGAGAGAGAGCAGAGAGAGAGAGAGCAGAGAGAGAGAGACACAGAGAGAGAGAGGCAGAGAGAGAGAGAGGCAGAGAGAGAGACACGAGAGACAAGAGAGAGAGCAGAGAGAGAGAGAGCAGAGAGAGAGAGACACAGAGAGAGAGAGGCAGAGAGAGAGAGACACGAGAGACAAGAGAGAGAGCAGAGAGAGAGAGAGCAGAGAGAGAGAGACACAGAGAGAGAGAGGCAGAGAGAGAGAGAGGCAGAGAGAGAGACACGAGAGACAAGAGCGAGAGAGAGAGAAAGAGAGAUAGAGAGAGAGAGGGAGUAAGAAUGAGAGAUAGAGGAAGUAAGAAUGAGAGAGAGGGAGAGCAGAGAGAGGGAGUAAGAAGGAGAGAGAGAGGGAGAGAGAGAGAGAGUAAGAAGGAGGGAGAGCAGAGAGAGAGAGAGUGCGUAAGAAGGAGAGUGAGAGGGAGAGAGAGAGGGAGUAAGAAGGAGAGAGAGGGAGAGAGAGAGAGGGAGAGAGAGUAA
Molecule: long non-coding RNA, 1122 nt
Filed under: Oncorhynchus kisutch (coho salmon)
Lineage: Eukaryota; Metazoa; Chordata; Actinopteri; Salmoniformes; Salmonidae
Description: lncRNA (ENSOKIG00005001178.1)
Source: RNAcentral